UACGGAGGGUGCAAGCAUUGAUCGGAAUUAUUGGGCGUAAAGGGCGCGUAGGCGGACCGGAAAGUCAAAUGUGAAAUUCCACGGCUCAACCGUGGAGCUGCAUUUGAAACUUCCAGUCUCGAGCAUAGUUAGGGAAAACGGAAUUCCACGUGUAGCGGUGAAAUGCGUAGAUAUGUGGAAGAACACCAGUGGUGAAGACGGUUUUCUGGGCUAUUGCUGACGCUGAGGCGCGAAAGCUAGGGGAGCAAACAGG
RNAcentral lists this ribosomal RNA (253 nucleotides) under uncultured bacterium. RNAcentral's name for it is "partial 16S ribosomal RNA". It matches the Rfam family "Bacterial small subunit ribosomal RNA", at positions 524 to 776 of the family's 1533-position model. The record is from RNAcentral.